AGUAGGGUAAGCUAAUUAAGCUCUCGGGCCCAUACCCCGAAAAUGUUGGUUAAAAUCCCUCCCCUGCUG
This 69-nucleotide transfer RNA is filed under the name Monotaxis grandoculis (humpnose big-eye bream). RNAcentral's name for it is "tRNA-Met". It matches the Rfam family "tRNA". From Rfam's summary of the family: Transfer RNA (tRNA) molecules are approximately 80 nucleotides in length. Their secondary structure includes four short double-helical elements and three loops (D, anti-codon, and T loops). Further hydrogen bonds mediate the characteristic L-shaped molecular structure. tRNAs have two regions of fundamental functional importance: the anti-codon, which is responsible for specific mRNA codon recognition, and the 3' end, to which the tRNAs corresponding amino acid is attached (by aminoacyl-tRNA synthetases). tRNAs cope with the degeneracy of the genetic code in two manners: having more than one tRNA (with a specific anti-codon) for a particular amino acid; and 'wobble' base-pairing, i.e. permitting non-standard base-pairing at the 3rd anti-codon position. Lineage: Eukaryota; Metazoa; Chordata; Actinopteri; Spariformes; Lethrinidae. The record is from RNAcentral. RNAcentral also lists the same sequence under 1 other name.